CCUUAAUAUGUAUCUCGAGAAAAACGUAACGGAAAUUAAAACGUAAUAUCUCAAAUAAAAGAUACACAUUUCGAGAACAUAUUUUAAACAUAAAAUUAACAAGUUUUAACUUUAAUACUAGAUAAUAUCCUCAAUAACACAAAAAAGUCAUUUUUUUAUGCACAAACAUUAUUUGUACACUUCUUCGUCUUGACUUCUAUUUAUUUCUAUUUCUGAAUCCAACGGUAAUCCGCGAUUCAUUUAUGAACAGUACUUCGGAGCAAACUUCAGUGUACUAUUCUCAAAGUUAUUUAGUUAGUUUCGCUGCUUUUUUUUUGCUGUAAUUGGACGAAAUGGGUCGGGGUCAAGAUGUAUCUCUAAAUUUUCGAAAAACUAUAAAAAAUUGUUAAUAUAUUUAGCGAACCGGAAUUAACUCGAAAUUGGUAGAAAUAUUGUCAAGUCACCUUCCACAAGCACGUAAGCAUUGCAGAAUUUGCAGUAGAACAUAGGGAAGGAACCACAUACUGACACCACGGGAGGAGCAUAAAGUUAAGCCGUCAAAAAAAAAAAUUUUGUACCCAAACCAUCCGGAACACCCUGCACAAUGCUGGUCUACAUGGUAGAGUUGUUCGUAAAAACCCAUUGAUUUCUGAUUACAACAAAAAAUGCGUUUGGAGAUCGCAAAAGUGCAUCGGUCCUUUUAAAGUAUGUCAAAAGGCAAAUGAAGGAAAAAACUUGACUCCAACUUUUAAGCACGUUGGCCAGAAUGUGAUGGUUUAUGGGUGUAUAGCUCCAGGUGGAGUGGGUCGAAUGGUCUUUUUGGAAGAUAAAAUUAAUCAAUUUAUGUAUAAAGACAUUUUAGGCCAAAAUUUAAUUCCAAGUGCCCUUGGACAGAACCCAGCGUCUUUCGUAUUUCAAUAAGAUAAUCACCCGAUAUAUUUUAAGUGCCUUUUAUAUCACUGCAAGGAGCAAAAACCGACUCUACAAUCACCAGAUUUCAAUCCCAUUGAACAUUUAUGGGAUAUCCUCCAGAAAAGGACAACAUAUCCUCGAAGGAAACCUUAAAACCCGCAUUUAUACCUGAAGGGGAUUCAAUUAAUGCUGACGAGACAAGCAACUUUAUAAAAAGCAUGUGUCGACGUUUACAAGCUUCCAUUAAGGCCAACGAUGGACCCACUAAAGAUUAUAAUCUUUAAAUCUUUGAAAUUUUUUUUUCAACAUUUUAUAAAGUGUAC
Long non-coding RNA from Drosophila eugracilis, 1214 nucleotides. RefSeq lists it as uncharacterized. The transcript has 3 exons. The record is from RefSeq and is a predicted model, not a curated record. Lineage: Eukaryota; Metazoa; Arthropoda; Insecta; Diptera; Drosophilidae.